AUCAGAUAAUAUUUGCCGUUGAACGUUUAAAAAAAAUGUAUUUUAUUAUAUUCUUACCAUUGUGUAUUCAUUUUUUUCGCACUUUUAUUAAACGGAUAAUGUUACAAUGUUUCUAAAAAAAAAAAUGUCCAAGGUGCCCCUAAAACCAGGAAUACCAAUUAUUUUAUACCACAACUCUUAAACAAUACAUUCAUCAAUGAUUUCAUUUUGGUGAUUCGUAUGCCGUACAAAAUAUUUAAUUUCAUUAAAAAAAAAAAACUACCUCAUUAUUUGGUUUGAUGGACGACAAUGAAUGUGUAAGUCUGCUUUUAUUAUAAAAUCUAUAUAAACGUUACAAUAUAAGAUAUUUAAUUCAAUUCAAAUGUAUCCGUAAAAUCACUAGAUUACUAGGGAAAAACCUUUUGAGAAACCGCUGACUUAUGAAGUAAUUCUUUCAUAAUGCUACUUAUUAAUACUUGGUACUUAAAAAUUUCCGUGGUGUCUUCCUCCAUAACAUUGAACGUUAUUUUUGCGAUCGCUUUUCAAUCAAGUGAACGAUGUUCUCGUGACUUAUAUUGCGUUCGUUGAUGUAUUAUUACCGUUAAUAGACCUUUCGAUUUCUUUUUGGUUAGUGCAAUAAUUAUUCAGUUUAUUGCCACAAAAUUUGGUUUCCUCGUUAAUAAUUUACGACUGAAAAUAUUACAUUACAUUAUAGAUAAAUGGCUGGACUAGUUAAAUGGCAAUACAGGUUAUAAAUUAUUAUAUUGAUUUAUGUGCCCAAAUUUCCUAAUUCUUAAAUCUAAGGUUCUACCAUGAAUUAUUGUACUCUGUAUUUUUACCAUCUAUUACUGUGUCCAAUUUAAAUCCGAAUGACGACCGAUUUUGUAUCGCAUUCAUUGCAUCGCAUAGCAGAAAUUGUUUAUGUCCAUUGAAAUAACGUUCAAUUUUAUAUUGAUAUAACCUUACUGUCAGUGUUGUGCUUGGAUAAAAAAAAAAUUAUUUAGAUAUAGAUUGAUAAAAUCACUUUUAUCUAGAUAUGUAUAUAAGGCAUCUACGUUUUCAUCCGUUUGUAGGCGAAUUAUUUUGGUCUUAGGUAAUGAUUGUAUUAUGUGAUGAUCCAUUUCAAAAUAUAAAAUAUUUCACCAAUAAAAUAAAAUUGAAAGUCGUAGACAAAAUCAUGAAAAAUAUGAAGACGGUCUGACGAUAAACACUGCACAUGUUGUGAAUGAGAGUGCGCUGCGUACAGUACAAGUUUUUAAUAAAUAACGUACGUUUCACGCCUAAUAUUUAUUUUGUUGUACAAUAAUUAUUAUGUAGACAUAUCAAAGUACGAAUUCAUGGAAUUGGGUUCCGGUAAUGACAAUUAUUUAGAGCACAUGAUUACAUGAAUAAUGGACAUAAUUUAUAUAUAAAUAUUGAAUGAAUGAUGAUGGAGAAACGAUCAAUUUCUGUUAUUUAUAAACCAUCUACCGCGCAGCUGCAAUAAUAACCAGUUUAGACCUAUGGUGCGUUAUCUCUGGUUCCAAUAAUCUAGUAAAUGAUCUUUCGGCAUUCGUAAUACCACAGAACAAUAGUAAUACGGGCAUGAGACUUCCCCGUAUAGGCCAUACUAUGAAAUUAUAAAUAAUUCUCACUAUCAUGCAUAUUAUGUAGGGUAUUUUAAGUGUAAAGAUUAAUGUAUUAAAAGCUUAACUGCUGAUUGGUAAUAAUUGCCUACCACUAAAUUUUACACUAGAAUUUAUGAAAAACGAUUCGUUUCCAAAUUUAUACAAAUUUUUGCAAAUUAUAAUCACAAUUCUGGUAAGCUCUGCUACUUACGAGCAAAGUUUUUCGAAAAUGUGGCGGAUAAAAAACUGGCUAAGAUCAAGCAUGUUUCAGGAAAGGUUUAUCAAUUUAUCUUUGUUGCAUAUUGAAAAAUAUUAAAUCAGCUAAACACCAUAACUAUAUUGAAUAAAUAUUGCAUGAAACCCAGAAAAAUUAUGCUGAUUUAAAAUGUACCAAUAAUAUAUUAUUUAUUUACCAACAAUAUAAAGGAAUUAAAAUGUACCAAGAUGUGUGAAAUUCGUUGGGUUGAACGCCACGAUAGUUUGUUACCGUUUAAAGAGCUAUAUUUACCAAUAACUAACACAUUAAGAGAACUCGAACAGUAUCAUAAUUUAGAAACAUCAAAACUUGCAUUUCAACUUUCAAAAACUACUACAUCAAGUUCGUUUGUAAUUUCAUUGUAAAUUACAGAAAAAUUAUUUUCCAUAACACUGCCUUUGUGUAAAUCUUUACAACAAAUAAACGUUGAUUUAUCCGAGUAUUGUGAAUAUGUCAAUAACUGUGUGCAAGUUAUUAAUUCAAUUCAUGAAAUAGUGAGGAAGAAUUCCACAAAUUAUUUUUUAAUGUCGAAAAUGUAUUAACCUUUGAAGACGAAACGGUUAAAACGCCACGACUAAUUAGGCAAUCUACCUAUCGUAACAAUAUUUCGGCAGAUUCACCAAAACAGUACUAUAUAUCAAUUUUUUUGCCAUUUAUAAACUACUUCAAAAGUCAAUUAAUAGAAAGAUAAAACACAAUUACAUUAUUUCUUAUUUACAAAAUUUGAUUCCAAGGAGCAAUGAAUUUAAAAAAUGCAUUGAUUUUUACAAAAGCUUUUUACCGACUUAUGAAACUUUUGAAUCAGAAUUGAAGAUGUGGGUGGAAAAAUGGAAAUCGAUACCCGAUAAUAAAUUUCCUAAAUCUGCAAUCAAUACUUUAGGCGUCAUGUCGAAGGCCUUUUACCCAAACAUUUGGUGUUUGAUAUCCAUACUUGCAACACUCCCAGUGCCGACUUCGUCUGCAGAGCGUUCUUUUUCAACUUUAAGACGAUUAAAAACCUAUUUGAGGAAUAGCUGCAGUGAAGAUCGUCUAACAGGUUUAGCUUUAUUGUCAGUCCACUGAGGUAUCCAAAUAAACAUUGAAGAAAUAAUACAUUUUCUAGAAUGUCACGUAAAGUUGACAUUGUCUUAUGAAUUAAAAUUGUAGA
Long non-coding RNA from Sipha flava (yellow sugarcane aphid), 2989 nucleotides. RefSeq lists it as uncharacterized. The transcript is spliced from 4 exons. Lineage: Eukaryota; Metazoa; Arthropoda; Insecta; Hemiptera; Aphididae. The record is from RefSeq and is a predicted model, not a curated record.